This 353-nucleotide ribosomal RNA is filed under the name Klebsiella pneumoniae. Its description in RNAcentral is "bacterial SSU rRNA". It matches the Rfam family "Bacterial small subunit ribosomal RNA", at positions 1191 to 1533 of the family's 1533-position model. Lineage: Bacteria; Pseudomonadati; Pseudomonadota; Gammaproteobacteria; Enterobacterales; Enterobacteriaceae. The record is from RNAcentral.
CAUCAUGGCCCUUACGACCAGGGCUACACACGUGCUACAAUGGCAUAUACAAAGAGAAGCGACCUCGCGAGAGCAAGCGGACCUCAUAAAGUAUGUCGUAGUCCGGAUUGGAGUCUGCAACUCGACUCCAUGAAGUCGGAAUCGCUAGUAAUCGUAGAUCAGAAUGCUACGGUGAAUACGUUCCCGGGCCUUGUACACACCGCCCGUCACACCAUGGGAGUGGGUUGCAAAAGAAGUAGGUAGCUUAACCUUCGGGAGGGCGCUUACCACUUUGUGAUUCAUGACUGGGGUGAAGUCGUAACAAGGUAACCGUAGGGGAACCUGCGGUUGGAUCACCUCCUUACCUUAAAGAA